CCCCCGCGCUACUUUUUAGUAGCCUACCGAAGCGCUAACAACAUGGAACAACUUGGAGUUAUUUGGACAUCAAUUAUGAACUUUGUCAAAAGAAACCACAUUUGUAGUGGACCUGGGAUUUCUAGAAGUGCCAAUGGAUGAAGAUAAUCAAAGGAAGUUCUGGUUUAGAUGCAAUCCCAGUGGUGCAUGGCAUGCUCUGCUUUUGUCAUGGUGGACUCCUGAUACUUCAUCUGAACUGCUUCUAGUGUUGGGGAGUGGUGAACUACAUGUAGUUCAACUGGUAAUUUAAGUAGAUUUUGCAGUAGCUGGUGGUAGUUAAACUAAAUUCAAAUCUUGUUAGUGUUUUCAGUAGUUAAACUACUGGAACUACAUAAUACUUUUUGAGCUAAAAUAAAGUGUG
Molecule: long non-coding RNA, 400 nt
Filed under: Salmo salar (Atlantic salmon)
Lineage: Eukaryota; Metazoa; Chordata; Actinopteri; Salmoniformes; Salmonidae
Description: lncRNA (ENSSSAG00000109401.1)
Source: RNAcentral